Molecule: ribosomal RNA, 216 nt
Filed under: Glomeromycotina sp.
Lineage: Eukaryota; Fungi; Glomeromycota
Description: partial small subunit ribosomal RNA
Rfam family: Eukaryotic small subunit ribosomal RNA (bases 75-216)
Source: RNAcentral
GGGUCAGUAGGUUGGUCGUGCCACCGGUACGUACUGGUCUCACUGAUUCCUCCUUCCUGAGGAACCGUAAUGCCAUUAAUUUGGUGUUGCGGGGAAACUGGACUGUUACUUUGAAAAAAUUAGAGUGUCUAAAGCAUGCUAACGCUUGAAUACAUUAGCAUGGAAUAAUGAAAUAGGACGAUCGAUCCUAUUUUGUUGGUUUCUAGGAUUGACGUA